Molecule: ribosomal RNA, 471 nt
Filed under: uncultured bacterium
Lineage: Bacteria
Description: bacterial SSU rRNA
Rfam family: Bacterial small subunit ribosomal RNA
Source: RNAcentral
AUUGAACGCUGGCGGCAUGCUUUACACAUGCAAGUCGAACGGUAACAGGCCUUCGGGCGCUGACGAGUGGCGGACGGGUGAGUAACGCGUAGGAAUGUGUCCGAGGGUGGGGGAUAACGUUGGGAAACUGACGCUAAUACCGCAUAUCCCCCUGAGGGGGAAAGCAGAGAUGCGCCCACGGAGCAGCCUGCGUCCGAUUAGGUAGUUGGUGGGGUAAAGGCUCACCAAGCCGACGAUCUGUAGCUGGUCUGAGAGGACGACCAGCCACACUGGGACUGAGACACGGCCCAGACUCCUACGGGAGGCAGCAGUGGGGAAUUUUGGACAAUGGGCGCAAGCCUGAUCCAGCAAUGCCGCGUGCAGGAAGAAGGCCUUCGGGUUGUAAACUGCUUUUGUACGGAACGAAACGGCUCUGGUUAAUACCUGGGGCUAAUGACGGUACCGUAAGAAUAAGCACCGGCUAACUACGUG